ACUUUUAUUUUGGAAAAAGAACUGCUGCUGUUUCAAGACAUGCGCACUAGCUGCGACAUCUAGUGACGACAUUUACCGGGCUUUAACGGUUGUUGCUGCAUGAAGUCUGCUGCAAUUUCUCUGAGAUUUCUCAAGAUCAUCAGUUUGGACAGAAUUCAUUUGAAGAAUUAAUAGCACUAGCAGGUUCCAAUAAAGGCUGGAACAAAACAGAC
This is a long non-coding RNA of Paramisgurnus dabryanus, 212 nucleotides long. RefSeq lists it as uncharacterized. NCBI's taxonomy places the organism in Eukaryota, Metazoa, Chordata, Actinopteri, Cypriniformes, Cobitidae. The record is from RefSeq and is a predicted model, not a curated record.